UUUCAGAUUUGUUUAUGAGGCAUUCCUCUUUUGAAGAAUAAAACAGAGAACCAAAUGUGUUGGCUUGAAGACUGAGCUGAAAAGGGAGAGCCACAAAUAGUAAUUUGUCUUUGAGCAUUGUACAGAUACACAUGUAACCUGAUACUAAACAAAAAUUAAAAGCUCAUGGACUGUUAUUGGUAUGGUGGGGUAUGCCGGAGUGAAGUGAUUUGUGAACUCCCUGGAGAGAGACUUCUACUAGAGAAAUUUCACUGAUACCAGGAAUAAAAAACAAAACAAACACAACAAUAUGGAGCCGUAUUCUCCAGAAGCUUACAUCUGAUUUAAGGAGAUAGUUAGGUAGACAAUUUCAACUAAAUACAUUAAGUGCCAUGAGAGUAGUAUGACACUGAUAGGUGCUAUACAAAACAAGGGUUCUAGGUUAACUGCUUUGAGAAAAUUGCUACCUUUUAACAAAGGUUAAACUGGAUUCUUUAAUGUAGAUCUUACUGAGAGUUUCUAAUAUGUUACUGUGCUUUGUGAAUCUUCAUGUGUGUGGAGUAGAGAUCCAGUCUGCCAAGUUCUACAGACUCAUCUGAUGACAGAACCCUUUUUCAAUGGAAGAUCUCAAGCGAUUUGUGCUCCAUGGGACAUAACGUGAGAAGGACUGACACAAGAUUUUCACCUAGUGAACAAAAAGUGUAUGUAUUUAUCUUUUUAAAAACUGCUUGGAUGGGUACUUCCUCCUAAAUAUGUAAAUAACUUUUGAAGUUUUUUAGGUCUAUGACAGAGUAAAAUUGCAGACUUAAAAGGAUUUACCUUGAAGAUUUUAAUGACUGCUGUCCUGAUCCCAGUGAAAAGGAAUGCCUUUAGUCAUUUUCAUUUAUGGACUGUUUAACAAUUUUUCUCCAAAAGAAAUAUUUAAUUAACACAAUCUCGAGUUCCUCCCAGUGCUUUUAAUUAACAGACCACUGAAAGAUCUUUGUUAAAGGAAAGGCUAGCUUCAGGCCAGAAGGCAUUGCAGGAUCUAAUAUGUAUGCUACGAUGCGUGACCAAGCAUGAAGAGAAACUAAGGGUGUGAAUAAAUAAGGGCGAAUGUUUGCAUCCAUCGUUAUGAAAUUUCUGAUAAUCGCUCUCUACUCUCUCCUAAUAUUUUCCUUUAGGAAAAGAGUUUUGGAAGGAAUUGUUCUCUCUCCUCAUUAUCCUCCUUAACAUAUGAAAGUCUCAAGAUAACUGUUGAUUACCCACUCUCUACUUCGUAAAGAGGAAACACAGAUCCAGAGGAUCAUUUUGUGAUUCAUCCCUUUUCAAAGUGUUUCUUAAAACAUUAAACAAAAUUUUAUUAUAAGAUGUU
Saimiri boliviensis boliviensis (Bolivian squirrel monkey) is the source of this 1333-nucleotide non-coding RNA. The record is from RefSeq and is a predicted model, not a curated record. NCBI's taxonomy places the organism in Eukaryota, Metazoa, Chordata, Mammalia, Primates, Cebidae.